UCACAGCUACAACCGCACGGACUGAGUAUUAAGUCUUCUGUUGAAGCGCUUAUGUUCGGCGAGUCUAAGCAUAUUA
RNAcentral lists this small RNA (76 nucleotides) under Apilactobacillus kunkeei. Lineage: Bacteria; Bacillati; Bacillota; Bacilli; Lactobacillales; Lactobacillaceae. The record is from RNAcentral.